This is a long non-coding RNA of Lates calcarifer (barramundi perch), 618 nucleotides long. RefSeq lists it as uncharacterized. The record is from RefSeq and is a predicted model, not a curated record. The transcript is spliced from 3 exons. Lineage: Eukaryota; Metazoa; Chordata; Actinopteri; Centropomidae.
GCGAACAGUAGGCAGCGAUAUUCCUUAAACUCAAGGUCCACUUACAGUUCUUUCUUUUUUGAACGUUCAUCCACAUCUUUUAACGCCACUGGAGUCUGCUCAGCUGUUGUGAGGAUAGCACACGAUAAAAAAGAAUAUUUGGACAUAAAAAAGCCUCAUGGUCCACCGUUUUUCUUUUACCUGGAGCUUUCAAGUGCUUCCCAUGGACUACUACUAGACGACUAUGGACGACUAUUUUUUUAAAGGGGUGUUGUUCUCCUGGGCUUUGCUCAACAUGCUGUUUAAAUCUACUCCCACUGACUUGCCAGUAUCCUGAGAGUGAGUCACUGGCUGACUUGUGGGAGCAGAUCCAGGGUUUCCCGUGGAGGAGGAAACGGCAGUUUCAGCUGUGUUGCCAGCAGCGUUGCUGGGUGGUAUGGUCUUUGGGAGGAGGUCGGGACGACCUGACUGCAUGACUGGGUGGUACAGGAAGAAAAACGUGUCAGAGCUGAACUGAUGUUGGAGUACAGGCUGCUGGUUGUUGCUGCUGGUUGGGGUCAACAGAAGAGGCCCAGAGCCAGCUCCUUUUCUCAAAGGACCGUGGCCAACUGCACGGCGCUUCUUAGACGGGGAGGUCUU